RNAcentral lists this ribosomal RNA (238 nucleotides) under uncultured bacterium. Its description in RNAcentral is "partial 16S ribosomal RNA". It matches the Rfam family "Bacterial small subunit ribosomal RNA", at positions 15 to 245 of the family's 1533-position model. The record is from RNAcentral.
GAUCUGGCUCAGGAUGAACGCUAGCUACAGGCUUAACACAUGCAAGUCGAGGGGCAGCAUCAUCAAAGCUUGCUUUGAUGGAUGGCGACCGGCGCACGGGUGAGUAACACGUAUCCAACCUGCCGACAACACUGGGAUAGCCUUUCGAAAGAAAGAUUAAUACCGGAUGGCAUAGUUUUCCCGCAUGGGAUAAUUAUUAAAAGAAUUUCGGUUGUCGAUGGGGAUGCGUUCCAUUAGG